UCUCGCUUGUGAGGAGCGACGAUAUCGAAUUUUCGUAUUUCAGUAUUUUACACGUUUUCAUUCUCGUUGUUUGGAGUUCGUAUUUGUUUUACAACGCGUGGAUUGAAAGGUUGGAUUAUUUGAUGCCGAGUGAAACUCCGAUUUCCGUGAUCGUAGAUUACUGGUCAAUGUGCAGCAUGUAUCUCGAAGUGAUCUCUGCCUGGUUUUGUAGUUAUUUUCCAAAAAAUAAUCUCGCAUCGAUAAUAAAAGCUUUCCAAAAGGCUGAACGAACUUCUGAGAAACUCGAUAUACCGGAAAACUGCGAGAAAUACUUGAGAAAUAUCGUCAUUCAUCUGCUGCUCUCAAUCACAGUUUUUUACGGAACCAUUUCUUUUACCAAUGUCAUACUGAUGCGUUUCCCGAAUUAUUAUUUAGGCCAGUGGCUUGUAUUCAAUGUGCCACGUUUAGCAUCGAUCACCUACCUAACUCUGUUCGUUUGGUGUCUUGUGAUAGUUGAACGAAAAUUCCGUCGUUUGAAUAAAAAAGUUCAUGCAUUCCUGCAAAACUAUUGCAUCAAAGCUCACGGAGUUAUGUAUCAGAGGAAAUCGAUCAAUGAAAUCUCAAUCGCAAAAUCAAGGCCAACAACAUGGGAAACAUCCUUCACUCGAUCCUCAAUCAUUCUGACAAAUCUUUCGAUACCGAAGACUCCGCGCGUUUGGACGUAAUUUCCUUGGGACUGUUGCUGAACAAAACCCGGAUAUCGGUCUUCGGCUUAUUCUAUUUGGACCAUCAUUUCAUUUACAAUACUGUACCAAUGGCAACGAUGUACCUUGUGAUAAUGCUACAAUUUUACACCUGAGCCAACGCGUUGUUCGUGCGCACGAUAAAGUGUGAAAUUGGAUGAAAGAAACCAGUGAUCAUCUGACCCAGAAAUUAUCCUUCUAAGAUU
This 928-nucleotide unclassified non-coding RNA is filed under the name Venturia canescens. Its description in RNAcentral is "putative gustatory receptor 28b, transcript variant X1". Lineage: Eukaryota; Metazoa; Arthropoda; Insecta; Hymenoptera; Ichneumonidae. The record is from RNAcentral.